RNAcentral lists this ribosomal RNA (907 nucleotides) under uncultured bacterium. RNAcentral's name for it is "bacterial SSU rRNA". It matches the Rfam family "Bacterial small subunit ribosomal RNA", at positions 1 to 903 of the family's 1533-position model. The record is from RNAcentral.
CUUGAGUUUGAUCCUGGCUCAGGAUGAACGCUAGCUACAGGCUUAACACAUGCAAGUCGAGGGGAAACGAUAUUGGAAGCUUGCUUCCGAUAGGCGUCGACCGGCGCACGGGUGAGUAACGCGUAUCCAACCUGCCCAUCACUUGGGGAUAACCUUGCGAAAGUAAGACUAAUACCCAAUGAUAUCUCAAGAAGACAUCUGAAUGAGAUUAAAGAUUUAUCGGUGAUGGAUGGGGAUGCGUCUGAUUAGCUUGUUGGCGGGGUAACGGCCCACCAAGGCUACGAUCAGUAGGGGUUCUGAGAGGAAGGUCCCCCACAUUGGAACUGAGACACGGUCCAAACUCCUACGGGAGGCAGCAGUGAGGAAUAUUGGUCAAUGGGCGAGAGCCUGAACCAGCCAAGUAGCGUGCAGGAUGACGGCCCUAUGGGUUGUAAACUGCUUUUAUAAGGGAAUAAAGUGAGCCUCGUGAGGCUUUUUGCAUGUACCUUAUGAAUAAGGACCGGCUAAUUCCGUGCCAGCAGCCGCGGUAAUACGGAAGGUCCGGGCGUUAUCCGGAUUUAUUGGGUUUAAAGGGAGCGUAGGCCGGAGAUUAAGCGUGUUGUGAAAUGUAGACGCUCAACGUCUGCACUGCAGCGCGAACUGGUUUCCUUGAGUACGCACAAAGUGGGCGGAAUUCGUGGUGUAGCGGUGAAAUGCUUAGAUAUCACGAAGAACUCCGAUUGCGAAGGCAGCUCACUGGAGCGCAACUGACGCUGAAGCUCGAAAGUGCGGGUAUCGAACAGGAUUAGAUACCCUGGUAGUCCGCACGGUAAACGAUGGAUGUCCGCUGUUGGUCUGAAUAGGUCAGCGGCCAAGCGAAAGCAUUAAGCAUCCCACCUGGGGAGUACGCCGGCAACGGUGAAACUCA